UUUUCCCUGCGGUGUUCGUCAAGGCCAUAGACUCCUUGAACCAAUGCUGAUUGGCAUCGGGUGGCCGACCUAAAAACCGCUGUUGUGCCCGCCCCUCGUCGGGUGGACCUGAUGCGGAAGGAAGGCUGCCUACUCUGGACUCCGGUUCAGGAUGCCGGCCUAACGGCACAGGCGGGGAUCCC
This 182-nucleotide non-coding RNA is filed under the name Accumulibacter sp. Its description in RNAcentral is "6S RNA". It matches the Rfam family "6S / SsrS RNA". From Rfam's summary of the family: E. coli 6S RNA was the first non coding RNA to be sequenced, but its function was unknown until recently. It consists of 184 nucleotides that fold into an extended hairpin structure with a large single-stranded internal bulge. The 6S RNA specifically associates with RNA polymerase holoenzyme containing the sigma70 specificity factor. The record is from RNAcentral. Lineage: Bacteria; Pseudomonadati; Pseudomonadota; Betaproteobacteria.